RNAcentral lists this ribosomal RNA (399 nucleotides) under Enterobacter cloacae. Its description in RNAcentral is "bacterial SSU rRNA". It matches the Rfam family "Bacterial small subunit ribosomal RNA", at positions 46 to 455 of the family's 1533-position model. Lineage: Bacteria; Pseudomonadati; Pseudomonadota; Gammaproteobacteria; Enterobacterales; Enterobacteriaceae. The record is from RNAcentral.
GCUACCAUGCAGUCGACGGUAGCACAGAGAGCUUGCUCUCGGGUGACGAGUGGCGGACGGGUGAGUAAUGUCUGGGAAACUGCCUGAUGGAGGGGGAUAACUACUGGAAACGGUAGCUAAUACCGCAUAACGUCGCAAGACCAAAGAGGGGGACCUUCGGGCCUCUUGCCAUCAGAUGUGCCCAGAUGGGAUUAGCUAGUAGGUGGGGUAACGGCUCACCUAGGCGACGAUCCCUAGCUGGUCUGAGAGGAUGACCAGCCACACUGGAACUGAGACACGGUCCAGACUCCUACGGGAGGCAGCAGUGGGGAAAUUGCACAAUGGGCGCAAGCUGAUCCACCCUGCCCGUGUUGAAGAAGGCCUUCGGGUUGUAAGUACUUUCACGGGAAGGAGGGUAAG